UAGUCCACGCUGUAAACGAUGUCUACUAGCUGUUUGUGGUUUUAUACCGUGAGUAGCGCAGCUAACGCACUAAGUAGACCGCCUGGGGAGUACGGCCGCAAGGUUAAAACUCAAAUGAAUUGACGGGGGCCCGCACAAGCGGUGGAGCAUGUGGUUUAAUUCGAUGCAACGCGAAGAACCUUACCAUCCCUUGACAUCCAGAGAAUCUGUUAGAGAUAGUAGAGUGCCUUCGGGAACUCUGAGACAGGUGCUGCAUGGCUGUCGUCAGCUCGUGUCGUGAGAUGUUCGGUUAAGUCCGGCAACGAGCGCAACCCACGUCCUUAGUUACCAGCAUUUAGUUGGGUACUCUAGGGAGACCGCCGGUGAUAAGCCGGAGGAAGGUGUGGAUGACGUCAAGUCCUCAUGGCCCUUACGUCCAGGGCUACACACGUGCUACAAUGGAUAAUACAGAGGGUUGCUAAGCCGCGAGGUGGAGCCAAUCCCAUAAAUUAUUCUAAGUUCGGAUCG
This 507-nucleotide ribosomal RNA is filed under the name uncultured bacterium. RNAcentral's name for it is "bacterial SSU rRNA". It matches the Rfam family "Bacterial small subunit ribosomal RNA", at positions 791 to 1300 of the family's 1533-position model. The record is from RNAcentral.